This is a long non-coding RNA of Neofelis nebulosa (Clouded leopard), 681 nucleotides long. RefSeq lists it as uncharacterized. The record is from RefSeq and is a predicted model, not a curated record. Lineage: Eukaryota; Metazoa; Chordata; Mammalia; Carnivora; Felidae. The transcript has 3 exons.
CAGGGGGAGGCUGAGCCACUGGAAAAAUCUACUGAGGAACAAUAUACAUAUCGCUAUAAAAUUUUCCAGAGCCCCAUGGCCCACCCGCACCUGUGCGGGGUCCAGUUCCUGCUGUGAACCUCUGGCUUCCACAUCAUCCCAACCCCGAUGCCUGAGGGAUGCAGCUGUGGGGACUGCAAGUAGUUCCAGUCCCCUCCCUCCCUCCACCAAGACUUGUUCCUAAUGUGGUCGGCCAUCUGUCCAGGGUCCUGUGGCCAUGUGCCCUGCAAAGGCAGCAUCUAUUACCUACUAAGAGAGAGGUAAAGAAGUGGAGAUCAGGGGCAGAUAGCGGAGCAGCCUGUUUCCACCCCACCUCUAGAAGUGCCCGGGGCCAUCAACCCUGGAGUUUUCUGCAGAUCCUGUGGCAUACGUCCGGUUGGUUCCUGGCUUUGCCCACUUCCGGUUAGUAUCCCAUGCCUCGCAGAAGGAAGUCCUACCAUCCCCAACACUUCCUGGUUACAGCGAUGUGUGUCUGUUCCCUCCUCUUCCUGUUCGUCUGGAUUCAGAGCCUAAAAAAAUUCCUUUCCUGCGGUUUUAGUGGAGAUUCACGGGACAAAGAUCAGAGAUCUGUGCAACACCCCCUAUUCUUUAGGAGACAGAACAUCUCAGGUGAAAUAUCCUCAGAACACGCUUUUACUGCCA